RNAcentral lists this long non-coding RNA (258 nucleotides) under Elaeis guineensis (African oil palm). RNAcentral's name for it is "long non-coding RNA (EGUI_LNC041749)". The record is from RNAcentral. Lineage: Eukaryota; Viridiplantae; Streptophyta; Magnoliopsida; Arecales; Arecaceae.
UUGCAUUUCUCAAACUUCAUAAUAUUGCUCUUAUCUUGAAAAGAUAUACCAUUUGAGAAUAUAUAAAGGCAAUAAAAAUACACAAAUCUUCCUCAUGCAAUGUCAAGCCUGUCUAGCAUCAUCUUAAGGGCAUGCUGAUAUGCAUCCAUGAUCUUCCACGAGCGAUGGAUCUUAAAUUCAUCGAGGAUCACCAGAUGAAGACGACCAACAUCCCUUGAGAUAUGAAACACCUCCAUCUCCUGCACAGCGCUGCUCACC